RNAcentral lists this ribosomal RNA (492 nucleotides) under uncultured bacterium. RNAcentral's name for it is "partial 16S ribosomal RNA". It matches the Rfam family "Bacterial small subunit ribosomal RNA", at positions 29 to 507 of the family's 1533-position model. The record is from RNAcentral.
AGUGAACGCUGGCGGUAGGCCUAACACAUGCAAGUCGAACGGCAGCACAGUAAGAGCUUGCUCUUACGGGUGGCGAGUGGCGGACGGGUGAGGAAUACAUCGGAAUCUACUUUUUCGUGGGGGAUAACGUAGGGAAACUUACGCUAAUACCGCAUACGACCUACGGGUGAAAGCAGGGGAUCUUCGGACCUUGCGCGACUGAAUGAGCCGAUGUCGGAUUAGCUAGUUGGCGGGGUAAAGGCCCACCAAGGCGACGAUCCGUAGCUGGUCUGAGAGGAUGAAUAAGCACACCUGAACCUGAAAAACGGCCCAGCCCCCUAGGGAAGGCAGAGGUGGGAAAAUUGGGAAAAGGGGGGAAAGCCUGAUCAAGCAUACCGCGUGGGUGAAGAAGGCCUUCGGGUUGUAAAGCCCUUUUGUUGGGAAAGAAAAGCAGCAGGUUAAUACCCCGCUGUUCUGACGGUACCCAAAGAAUAAGCACCGGCUAACUUCGUG